UGAACCUGCCACAACUGGAGGAAGUAUGUCGAAAACAAAUUGGAAGAAAAGGAAAAAAAACAUGACUAAAGAAGAAAAAGUAUGAUUCUAAAAAGACAAAAAAAAGAAAGAAAAAGUGGACUCAAAUGACGGCCAUGAAUUGCGGCUUUGGUUGUGCCAGCUGGCUGCAGAUUGUCGCCAGAGCCAUGAAGGGUUGAGACUCCGCUUUCAUUCAGAUGCCCCGCCCCCUAACUGUUAUCCACAUUUGCUCCCGGUUGCCAUUCUAUAAAAUCACCUUUAACCAGCUUUAGCUUUUAGGCUAUCUUCUCCUCCAGCUAUUGUGAUGCAGUAGCACAUAAUCAACCAGUAAGAGAUAUCCUGAGAGAGUCCUCUGUGGGUUAGUGUUAAGGUUACAGCUGUACAAAAAUCAUCAUAUUAUCACAUAAUAUUGAAUGAAUGCUGCACUAUGCAUCUUACUUGUUAAAUUGUUAACGAGGAUUAUAAUGUCACGGUCUUUGAAAUUGAAAAAUUGGAGUUGAAAUAAAGCAGUUGUUUUAACACUGUGUUUGGGUCCUGAUAGUUGCAGUUUUGUCUUGAGCAUUUGCAAGACACCAUGUGGUGAGAGUGGUUAAUUCCUGUUUUAGCAAUCCAGGACAAAUGCUCAAAUGUAUAAAA
Syngnathus typhle (broad-nosed pipefish) is the source of this 654-nucleotide long non-coding RNA. RefSeq lists it as uncharacterized. NCBI's taxonomy places the organism in Eukaryota, Metazoa, Chordata, Actinopteri, Syngnathiformes, Syngnathidae. The transcript has 2 exons. The record is from RefSeq and is a predicted model, not a curated record.